GGCAAAAAUUUUUGUGGGAGGGACGUAAGAGAAAGUUGACAUUCAGGAAUCUUCACCUUGCUGAGUGCAUCAUAAAUGCAGUGCAGAGCUGCCAUAAAUGUGAAGACUUCAAGGUAGAAACCAUGGUCACGGAUUAACUUCGCCACGCACCUGCCUGACAUCAGUCAUCUCAAAUGGAACAUUCUGCACCACAGGAGAGAGAGAUGUGAACCGCCUUAAGUGGGCCUCCGUGAAUGCGCUGAGCUUUUUAUUAUGUUUAUCAGACAUUUUUU
Molecule: long non-coding RNA, 272 nt
Organism: Ixodes scapularis (black-legged tick)
Lineage: Eukaryota; Metazoa; Arthropoda; Arachnida; Ixodida; Ixodidae
Exons: 3
Source: RefSeq, a predicted model, not a curated record